RNAcentral lists this ribosomal RNA (1661 nucleotides) under Enterobacter sp. BIDMC 26. Its description in RNAcentral is "bacterial LSU rRNA". It matches the Rfam family "Bacterial large subunit ribosomal RNA", at positions 1288 to 2925 of the family's 2925-position model. The record is from RNAcentral. Lineage: Bacteria; Pseudomonadati; Pseudomonadota; Gammaproteobacteria; Enterobacterales; Enterobacteriaceae.
GUGCGAAUGCUGACAUAAGUAACGAUAAAGCGGGUGAAAAGCCCGCUCGCCGGAAGACCAAGGGUUCCUGUCCAACGUUAAUCGGGGCAGGGUGAGUCGACCCCUAAGGCGAGGCCGAAAGGCGUAGUCGAUGGGAAACAGGUUAAUAUUCCUGUACUUGGUGUUACUGCGAAGGGGGGACGGAGAAGGCUAUGUUAGCCGGGCGACGGUUGUCCCGGUUUAAGCAUGUAGGCGGAGGUUCCAGGUAAAUCCGGUUCCUUGUUAACGCUGAGGUGUGAUGACGAGGCACUACGGUGCUGAAGUAACAAAUGCCCUGCUUCCAGGAAAAGCCUCUAAGCAUCAGGUAACACGAAAUCGUACCCCAAACCGACACAGGUGGUCAGGUAGAGAAUACCAAGGCGCUUGAGAGAACUCGGGUGAAGGAACUAGGCAAAAUGGUGCCGUAACUUCGGGAGAAGGCACGCUGAUAUGUAGGUGAAGUCCCUGCGGAUGGAGCUGAAAUCAGUCGAAGAUACCAGCUGGCUGCAACUGUUUAUUAAAAACACAGCACUGUGCAAACACGAAAGUGGACGUAUACGGUGUGACGCCUGCCCGGUGCCGGAAGGUUAAUUGAUGGGGUUAGCGGUAACGCGAAGCUCUUGAUCGAAGCCCCGGUAAACGGCGGCCGUAACUAUAACGGUCCUAAGGUAGCGAAAUUCCUUGUCGGGUAAGUUCCGACCUGCACGAAUGGCGUAAUGAUGGCCAGGCUGUCUCCACCCGAGACUCAGUGAAAUUGAACUCGCUGUGAAGAUGCAGUGUACCCGCGGCAAGACGGAAAGACCCCGUGAACCUUUACUAUAGCUUGACACUGAACACUGGUCCUUGAUGUGUAGGAUAGGUGGGAGGCUUUGAAGCGUGGACGCCAGUCUGCGUGGAGCCAACCUUGAAAUACCACCCUUUAAUGGCUGGUGUUCUAACGUAGACCCGUGAUCCGGGUUGCGGACAGUGUCUGGUGGGUAGUUUGACUGGGGCGGUCUCCUCCCAAAGAGUAACGGAGGAGCACGAAGGUUAGCUAAUCCUGGUCGGACAUCAGGAGGUUAGUGCAAUGGCAUAAGCUAGCUUGACUGCGAGAGUGACGGCUCGAGCAGGUGCGAAAGCAGGUCAUAGUGAUCCGGUGGUUCUGAAUGGAAGGGCCAUCGCUCAACGGAUAAAAGGUACUCCGGGGAUAACAGGCUGAUACCGCCCAAGAGUUCAUAUCGACGGCGGUGUUUGGCACCUCGAUGUCGGCUCAUCACAUCCUGGGGCUGAAGUAGGUCCCAAGGGUAUGGCUGUUCGCCAUUUAAAGUGGUACGCGAGCUGGGUUUAGAACGUCGUGAGACAGUUCGGUCCCUAUCUGCCGUGGGCGCUGGAGAAUUGAGGGGGGCUGCUCCUAGUACGAGAGGACCGGAGUGGACGCAUCACUGGUGUUCGGGUUGUCAUGCCAAUGGCACUGCCCGGUAGCUAAAUGCGGAAGAGAUAAGUGCUGAAAGCAUCUAAGCACGAAACUUGCCCCGAGAUGAGUUCUCCCUGAGACUUUAAGUCUCCUGAAGGAACGUUGAAGACUACGACGUUGAUAGGUCGGGUGUGUAAGCGCAGCGAUGCGUUGAGCUAACCGAUACUAAUGAACCGUGAGGCUUAACCUU